This 667-nucleotide long non-coding RNA is filed under the name Polistes fuscatus (common paper wasp). Its description in RNAcentral is "uncharacterized LOC122520288". The record is from RNAcentral. Lineage: Eukaryota; Metazoa; Arthropoda; Insecta; Hymenoptera; Vespidae.
UAUUAAUAUGCUAUCUUUCUCUAAACAAAAAUAUACUUAUCAUAAAAGAAUCAAACUGUUUGCUAUUACUACAGUUGAUAUUACAAUGAUCAAUAUAUGUUAUUAUGGUGUUGCUAUCUUUCUUAUUUUUUUAUUUUAGUUACAUAUUUUUUAUUUAACUUUAAUUUCUACGCGAAUUGAGCAUGCUCAAAUUCAAAAAAUAGUACAGAAUCAUCUCUUUAUUGCAGGGCACGCUUUAUGAUUAUGAUAUAUUUACUUUAAAAAAAAAUGUAUUCUUAAUAUGUGUUAAGAAUGGGAAUGUAUUCUUAACUUACUUUUCAUUCCAACACAAGUGGAUCUAUCAUUGAAUGUCGUUUUAUCUAUGAAGAGUGUUACUGUUUUUAAUCACCGAAAUUUUGCUGUAACUCGAACAAGACUCUGUUGCACCGGCAUCUUAAUGAACUCAGAAGGAGGUCAGAACAUAACAAUACAGAAACAAUUCACAACGUGUAAGUCCAUCCUAACUCACUGCCUAUCCUUAAGAUUCCUUCUGAUUCGGAAUAGCAACUUUUGAUUACCAAAUAAAUAAAAAUAAAGUCUAUUAACGAAAUCAUACAAUUAACAACUAUUUACAACAAUCUGUUUGUAUUUGUUAGCAUAUGGUAAUAUAAUUAAUUAAAAAAAGAAA